GACGAACGCUGGCGGCGUGCUUAACACAUGCAAGUCGAACGGAAAGGCCCUGCUUUUGUGGGGUGCCCGAGUGGCGAACGGGUGAGUUACACGUGAGUAACCUGCCCUUGACUUUGGGAUAACUUCAGGAAACUGGGGCUAAUACCGGAUAGGAGCUCCUGCUGCAUGGUGGGGGUUGGAAAGUUUCGGCGGUUGGGGAUGGACUCGCGGCUUAUCAGCUUGUUGGUGGGGUAGUGGCUUACCAAGGCUUUGACGGGUAGCCGGCCUGAGAGGGUGACCGGCCACAUUGGGACUGAGAUACGGCCCAGACUCCUACGGGAGGCAGCAGUGGGGAAUAUUGCACAAUGGGCGGAAGCCUGAUGCAGCAACGCCGCGUGCGGGAUGACGGCCUUCGGGUUGUAAACCGCUUUCGCCUGUGACGAAGCGUGAGUGACGGUAAUGGGUAAAGAAGCACCGGCUAACUACGUG
This 468-nucleotide ribosomal RNA is filed under the name uncultured bacterium. RNAcentral describes it as "partial 16S ribosomal RNA". It matches the Rfam family "Bacterial small subunit ribosomal RNA", at positions 28 to 507 of the family's 1533-position model. The record is from RNAcentral.